GCAGCAGCCGCGGUAAUACGGAAGGUCCAGGCGUUAUCCGGAUUUAUUGGGUUUAAAGGGAGCGUAGGCUGGAGAUUAAGUGUGUUGUGAAAUGUAGACGCUCAACGUCUGAAUUGCAGCGCAUACUGGUUUCCUUGAGUACGUACAACGUUGGCGGAAUUCGUCGUGUAGCGGUGAAAUGCUUAGAUAUGACGAAGAACUCCGAUUGCGAAGGCAGCUGACGGGAGCGCAACUGACGCUUAAGCUCGAAGGUGCGGGUAUCAAACAGGAUUAGAUACCCUGGUAGUCCGCACAGUAAACGAUGGAUGCCCGCUGUUGGUACCUGGUAUCAGCGGCUAAGCGAAAGCAUUAAGCAUCCCACCUGGGGAGUACGCCGGCAACGGUGAAACUCAAAGGAAUUGACGGGGGCCCGCACAAGCGGAGGAACAUGUGGUUUAAUUCGAUGAUACGCGAGGAACCUUACCCGGGCUUGAAUUGCAGAGGAAGGAUUUAGAGAUAAUGACGCCCUUCGGGGUCUCUGUGAAGGUGCUGCAUGGUUGUCGUCAGCUCGUGCCGUGAGGUGUCGGCUUAAGUGCCAUAACGAGCGCAACCCCUCUCUUCAGUUGCCAUCAGGUUA
This 616-nucleotide ribosomal RNA is filed under the name uncultured bacterium. RNAcentral describes it as "bacterial SSU rRNA". It matches the Rfam family "Bacterial small subunit ribosomal RNA", at positions 508 to 1128 of the family's 1533-position model. The record is from RNAcentral.